Molecule: ribosomal RNA, 327 nt
Filed under: uncultured eukaryote
Lineage: Eukaryota
Description: partial 18S ribosomal RNA
Rfam family: Eukaryotic small subunit ribosomal RNA
Source: RNAcentral
CCCUUAGAUGUUCUGGGCUGCACGCGCGCUACACUGAUGCGCUCAACGAGUUUACGACCUUGCCCGGAAGGGUUGGGUAAUCUUUUUAAAACGCAUCGUGAUAGGGAUAGAUUAUUGCAAUUGUUAAUCUUGAACGAGGAAUUCCUAGUAAACGCGAGUCAUCAGCUCACAUUGAUUACGUCCCUGCCCUUUGUACACACCGCCCGUCGCACCUACCGAUUGAAUGGUUCGGUGAAGAUCUCGGACUUCGAUAUUUAUUCUUUAUUGAGUUUAUAUUGUGGGAAGUUAUCUAAACCUCAUCAUUUAGAGGAAGGUGAAGUCGUAACA